CCUACGGGAGGCAGCAGUGGGGAAUAUUGGGCAAUGGGCGAAAGCCUGACCCAGCAACGCCGCGUGAAGGAAGAAGGCUUUCGGGUUGUAAACUUCUUUUCUGGGGGACGAACAUAUGACUGUACCCCAGGAAUGAGCCACGGCUAACUACGUCCCAGCAGCCGGGGUAAUACGUAGGUGGCAAGCGUUCUCCGGAUUUAUUGGGUGUAAAGGGCGUGUAGGCGGGCAUGCAAGUCAGAUGUGAAAACGCAGGGCUCAACCCUCGGACUGCAUUUGAAACUGUGUUUCUUGAGUGCUGGAGAGGCAAGCGGAAUUCCGGGUGUAGCGGUGAAAUGCGUAGAUAUAGGGAGGAACACCAGUGGCGAAGGCGGAUUGCUGGACAGUAACUGACGCUGAGGCGCGAAAGCGUGGGGAGCAAACAGGAUUAGAUACCCGGGUAGUC
This 442-nucleotide ribosomal RNA is filed under the name uncultured bacterium. RNAcentral's name for it is "partial 16S ribosomal RNA". It matches the Rfam family "Bacterial small subunit ribosomal RNA", at positions 338 to 795 of the family's 1533-position model. The record is from RNAcentral.